Molecule: ribosomal RNA, 996 nt
Filed under: Staphylococcus aureus
Lineage: Bacteria; Bacillati; Bacillota; Bacilli; Caryophanales; Staphylococcaceae
Description: partial 23S ribosomal RNA
Rfam family: Bacterial large subunit ribosomal RNA
Source: RNAcentral
AUUAGACGAAUCAUCUGGAAAGAUGAAUCAAAGAAGGUAAUAAUCCUGUAGUCGAAAAUGUUGUCUCUCUUGAGUGGAUCCUGAGUACGACGGAGCACGUGAAAUUCCGUCGGAAUCUGGGAGGACCAUCUCCUAAGGCUAAAUACUCUCUAGUGACCGAUAGUGAACCAGUACCGUGAGGGAAAGGUGAAAAGCACCCCGGAAGGGGAGUGAAAUAGAACCUGAAACCGUGUGCUUACAAGUAGUCAGAGCCCGUUAAUGGGUGAUGGCGUGCCUUUUGUAGAAUGAACCGGCGAGUUACGAUUUGAUGCAAGGUUAAGCAGUAAAUGUGGAGCCGUAGCGAAAGCGAGUCUGAAUAGGGCGUUUAGUAUUUGGUCGUAGACCCGAAACCAGGUGAUCUACCCUUGGUCAGGUUGAAGUUCAGGUAACACUGAAUGGAGGACCGAACCGACUUACGUUGAAAAGUGAGCGGAUGAACUGAGGGUAGCGGAGAAAUUCCAAUCGAACCUGGAGAUAGCUGGUUCUCUCCGAAAUAGCUUUAGGGCUAGCCUCAAGUGAUGAUUAUUGGAGGUAGAGCACUGUUUGGACGAGGGGCCCCUCUCGGGUUACCGAAUUCAGACAAACUCCGAAUGCCAAUUAAUUUAACUUGGGAGUCAGAACAUGGGUGAUAAGGUCCGUGUUCGAAAGGGAAACAGCCCAGACCACCAGCUAAGGUCCCAAAAUAUAUGUUAAGUGGAAAAGGAUGUGGCGUUGCCCAGACAACUAGGAUGUUGGCUUAGAAGCAGCCAUCAUUUAAAGAGUGCGUAAUAGCUCACUAGUCGAGUGACACUGCGCCGAAAAUGUACCGGGGCUAAACAUAUUACCGAAGCUGUGGAUUGUCCUUUGGACAAUGGUAGGAGAGCGUUCUAAGGGCGUUGAAGCAUGAUCGUAAGGACAUGUGGAGCGCUUAGAAGUGAGAAUGCCGGUGUGAGUAGCGAAAGACGGGUGAGAAUCCCG